RNAcentral lists this long non-coding RNA (942 nucleotides) under Polistes fuscatus (common paper wasp). Its description in RNAcentral is "uncharacterized LOC122515414". Lineage: Eukaryota; Metazoa; Arthropoda; Insecta; Hymenoptera; Vespidae. The record is from RNAcentral.
UUCAAUUGAAAGAAUGUUUUUUCAAGGUCAUUUAUUUACGAGAUUCAAAGUUAUCUAUGUUUUUUUUAAUGGAACUAUAUAUUUAUCUUUACGAUAUUCUCAUAGAAUAUGAAAAAACGAUUAAAAACAAUCUGCAUGACCAUAUUAUUCUGAUCAUUUAUUUUCGAGAUAUUCACAUCUAAAAAUUACUCUGUUUACUUUGAAUAUCUUCGUGAUUUUAUAAUAAUAUGAAUAAAUGUUUGCUACACAGAACUUGAAUGACAUAGAAAGGGGAGGGGGGUAAUGCCUAUUUCUUUAACCAGGGGUGGUGGUUACUUUUAUCGAGUAUAAAUUGUGAAAUGUUUGUCAGUAACAACAGUACAAACUCGGAGGACGGUAAAUGAAGGAACAAAUGCAAAUCAACGUUAAAAGUAAAAAAUCUUCUCGUGUACAAGAGACAACAUUUCAAAAUUUUCUCGAUAAAGGUCACUUGAAGGUUAACAUAUUGCACUUCAUUGGAUUCGUUUUCUUUUUAUAAGCUAUAAGACUGCGGUAGUGAAAAUAUGCAAUCCCAUUGUGAAAAAAAUACGAUGACCUUGAAAUCUCGAAAAAAAAAUGACUUUGAGAAAAAAAUUCGGCCCAUCACCGUAUCAACGCCUUCGAACAGAAUAUUUUUUUCCUUUGACAUUUUUUUUCUAUUGUACGAAAUAAACGAUAUAUUUAAGGUGGUCUAGUUAGACAGCAAAAGAAAAAGAGGAAGUAUUUUUAGUAAGAGAACUGUGCAUUUAAAUAGAACUGAUUAAAAUGAAACGUGGAAAUUUUAGUAAACAAAAUGUGUAACAUUAAAGAGGACAACAAAUAUUCACGAAAAAUAGAAAGCACUGUUUAUUAAUACAAAUCGAGGAUGAUUAUUUUGAACAAUUCUUAUGAAAAUAAACUGUUAUUAAUCAUUGAAACACAAAA